CCUCUGUAUUUUCCACUCCUGUGAGUCUAGCUUCUUUUACUAAACUAGGAAGAGAAUGUAGUAGUUUCAAAGAUUACAAAUCAGACAGUUUGAUUGUUUUCGACAAUUCAACUGGUCUGAUGGCCCUAUGUGUACAAACUAUUCCUCUUGUCUAUUUUCAUUCCUUUCACACAUAUGAUCAUCUUCAUCUCAUAAAUUCAAUGACCUGUGGUUUUUCCAGGGAAUACCAGCAGCAAGUAAAUCAUUGGAUAGUUCUGAUGCAUGUGUGACUCUUCUUUGUAUUAAACUUGCUACGUGGUGGCCAUGGGAUGAACUCUCAUCAAGCAAAGUUGUUGGAGAACGUGAUGCAGCUAAGACUGUUGAAACUGAUGCUAUUCCUGCUCUUCAGAAACUGCAGAAGAAGAAAGGAAGAGAACUACAAAAGAAAUAAAGGCAAGAAAGGCUGCAGAAUCUUUUAACAAAUUUUUAGGCUGCAGAAUCUAUUUCUCAGUUUUCUUCAUUAAUGAACUACACUUUCUUGAUUGCUUGAAAGGAAGCACAUUUUGUGUGUUUGAAGCCAAGUCAUCAGAAAAUGAAAUUUGAAGAAUACAACUUGAUUGAUGUGAGAUUAUCAAGUCGCCCUAAUCAAUCAAGUUUGCAGAGUCGCAGAAAAAGAGCUGUAUCAAAGCCAUAUGAAGUAGCACACUUGUUGCUGGUACAUUUCGAUAAGGAAAGCAUCUUUUUUGUGCUUCUCUACUGGUAGAUUGUCAUGCACCAUAUGCGGCAUCUUUUGGAACAAUAUAUGUGUGUCAGCUUUUUGAUGUCCCAAGUAGAUGGGCAUGCACUAGAAUGCUUUUCUUAUGUAAAAUGUUGGUUUCAAUGAUUGGGAAAUGCACCCUUUUUUCUUUUGAAGUUUA
This is a long non-coding RNA of Rosa chinensis, 896 nucleotides long. RefSeq lists it as uncharacterized. The transcript has 3 exons. The record is from RefSeq and is a predicted model, not a curated record. NCBI's taxonomy places the organism in Eukaryota, Viridiplantae, Streptophyta, Magnoliopsida, Rosales, Rosaceae.